UAGGAAGGGAUAUUAGGUAUAGGACCACACUGAGGAGAGAGAAGAUAUUAUGAGUGUUAGUGUUUAGGAAGGGAUAUUAGGUAUAGGACCACACUGAGGAGAGAGAGAAGAUAUUAUGAGUGUUAGUGUUUAGGAAGGGAUAUUAGGUAUAGGACCACACUGAGGAGAGAGAGAAGAUAUUAUGAGUGUUAGUGUUUAGGAAGGGAUAUUAGGUAUAGGACCACACUGAGGAGAGAGAGAAGAUAUUAUGAGUGUUAGUGUUUAGGAAGGGAUAUUAGGUAUAGGACCACACUGAGGAGAGAGAGAAGAUAUUAUGAGUGUUAGUGUUUAGGAAGGGAUAUUAGGUAUAGGACCACACUGAGGAGAGAGAGAAGAUACUAUGAGUGUUAGUGUUUAGGAAGGGAUAUUAGGUAUAGGACCACACUGAGGAGAGAGAAGAUACUAUGAGUGUUAGUGUUUAGGAAGGGAUAUUAGGUAUAGGACCACACUGAGGAGAAAGAAGAUACUAUGAGUGUUAGUGUUUAGGAAGGGAUAUUAGGUAUAGGACCACACUGAGAAGAUAUUAUGAGUGUUAGUGUUUAGGAAGGGAUAUUAGGUAUAGGACCACACUGAGGAGAGAGAGAAGAUACUAUGAGUGUUAGUGUUUAGGAAGGGAUAUUAGGUAUAGGACCACACUGAGGAGAGAGAGAAGAUAUUAUGAGUGUUAGUGUUUAGGAAGGGAUAUUAGGUAUAGGACCACACUGAGGAGAGAGAGAAGAUACUAUGAGUGUUAGUGUUUAGGAAGGGAUAUUAGGUAUAGGACCACACUGAGGAGAGAGAAGAUACUCUGAGUGCUCUGUCUGUAUGAGCUGUCUGCAGCUGUAGUUCUGUCAAGGAGCAGCUGUUGGAAAUUGUUGAGGAUUUUUUUUCCCAUCUUAAAACAAGGUGAGGAUGCUAUAAACUGUUCAGAUUCUUCACCUCUAUUACAUAAGCAGUGUUAUUUGAGACACUGAAAUGUCCAUUCAGGGAGGUAUAGACACAGUCCAUUCAGGGAGGUAUAGACACAGUCCAUUCAGGGAGGUAUAGACACAGUCCAUUCAGGGAGGUAUAGACACAGUCCAUUCAGGGAGGUAUAGACACAGUCCAUUCAGGGAGGUAUAGACACAGUCCAUUCAGGGAGGUAUAGACACAGUCAGACAUUUUGCAAGUUCCUCCUGCCAUGGAUUCAGCAUUAGAAUGAUAGAUUGUGGAUCACUUUCCCACAAAAGGACCACAUUUCCACCCAGCACACACAUUCCUAAUGGACCGCCACAGUCGGGACCAGAUGUAGCUUCUUAACUGGACUUGUCUUCCCAUGAUGAACACUGGUGUUUGGAGACCUCAAUAACAUGUUGAGUAAACGCUCUUCGGAGGCCUCGCGCUUUACGCCUGCCAAGGUCCCACACAUAAACAGGAAGAGGAAGGAAUGUUGGGACUCUGCUGCUUCUUUUCAGAACUCACUUCCCCUCUCCCCUCUGGUGUGUCAUCAUCACCACUUUAUCAGAGCCCCUCGACAGGAGGAAAUGUACUCAGCGUUUCCCAGGGCAACCAGUAGUGCCCUCUUCCUGCUUUCAAUAGGUGAUACUUGUCCCUAGUUUAGCUGUGUCUAAUGGAUAUGUCUGUUUGCUAAGUGUGUUUAUCUGUAUUUUAAAUACAGCUGUCUGAUAAGUUGUGUGGUUACACCAUGAUACUGUAUACCCAUUCUUAAUAGUUACUGUACAGUAGUCAUACAGUAUGCUAUUAUUUGUAUGUCUCUGCCUCCAGUAUGAAGGAAGUUAGGUAGUUUGCGAGCCAAUGCUGGCUAGCAUUAGCACAAUGACUGGAAGUCUAUGGUAUCUACUAGCAUGCUGAGGACAGUAUCCUAUAAUACUUCACUAUCGGACUUGGUAAUGUGAAAGUGAAUGCUGGACUAAGGUUAUAUAUUCAUGGUUCUAUUGACAUAAACCUAUUUGACCCUGUGGACUCAGACGUGGCAGCCAUGACUGAUCAAGUACAGAGACAAAAUAUGGCUUAGCAUAGUCUCCUCACUGGCUGGGUCGGAAAAACACACAUUCUUUCUGCUGAAAUCAGAAACAUCCCUUAAAAGGAUAAGCCUAGAUCUCCCAUUGUUUUAUCUGGAAUAAGACAAAUGCAUGGAAAUGAUUUGAAUUAAUAGUGGGUAAAACAGCCAGCACCGUGAUCCAAAAUAAAUGUUCGUAACUCAGUUCCAGAAGUCCCUCUGUUUGGGCAACUGUGCAUAGCAACAUUUUUAGUCUUAAAACACUGUGUUGAUGUAGACUGACUUCUGUUAGACUGUAAAAUCCCUCAUUAUUCCAUAUGUGACUGUUAUUAGUUUUAUGUUUCUGACCCCUGCUUCUCUGGAGUCUACAGCUGUGUAUUGCUGUAGGCAGUUGGGAGGGAGCAGGGGAACAUUUGGGCAAAUCAAACAGCACAGAGCAUCCCUGUGCCCUUUUGCAGGGGUCAGAUGGCUAAAGGCAGGCAGUGUUUUUACUGGGCUUGUCUGCGCAGACACAGGCACCAUGCUCCUAAAAGUAAUGUCUGUGUCAAUAUGUUAUAGGCCAGACGAGAACAACUAGCGUUAACCUCUGCCUGAGUUAGAGCAGAGCAGAGUUGGCAUUUCCCCAGGCGUGCUGAUAAACGUUUUGGCAGGAAGGUCUUUGUAAAUGACUACAUUCCUUUAUAACCUUUUAAGGCUAUUUUUACCAUUCAAGGGCCUGUUCGUUCGGUAAGCACAGUUUUGUUUGUUGCACAGCGUGAAAACAGGAAAGACUGGUUUGUGUUCUGCACGAGUGGGAGGUUGUCUCCUGUUUCUGUCAAUAUAGAGGAUACAACCGUCAAGUUCAAAGUCAAACUAUUUUCUCAAUGCAUAUUCAUUUAUUUUUGAUGCACUAUUUAACUAAAUCGCAUAUAUCAUGAAUUUCACAAUUUCUCGCUGUGCCCUGACUGACCCCUACAUCACAGGGUGUUUCGGGGACAUUCCACGGGUCAAAAAGCCCUCUGACUACACGUCCACAGCAGCAGUGUAAGGACCCCUUGCAUGCAUUCUUCCUGUUGCCUGCUUGUCCCAGUGAAUGUGGCAUAGGUUGCGUCAGAGCUGUCCAGGGGCUGGGAAAGAAAUCAUGUCUUAAGAGGAUUAAGGGGACCGGGGCCACAUCUCUCCGGAGGCGACCACGGUUACAGUGAGAAUGACCCCGGCUGUCACCACGCGCCAACAUCAGUGGUGGUGUCUCAAUACCCAUGCCUCUCUCUCUUUCAAUAGAUGUACAUCAUGUUGAUAUGUUACUUAGUGUAUAGCAUAGUUAAUUUCUUUGCACCUGAAGACCAUUCAAUAAGUUGACCUCUAUUCACACCGUAAUUAUUCAAUAAAGGUGUGUUCAACUCUC
This is a long non-coding RNA of Oncorhynchus keta (chum salmon), 3401 nucleotides long. RefSeq lists it as uncharacterized. The transcript has 4 exons. The record is from RefSeq and is a predicted model, not a curated record. NCBI's taxonomy places the organism in Eukaryota, Metazoa, Chordata, Actinopteri, Salmoniformes, Salmonidae.